RNAcentral lists this small RNA (28 nucleotides) under Bombyx mori (domestic silkworm). RNAcentral describes it as "ovarian small RNA-21471". Lineage: Eukaryota; Metazoa; Arthropoda; Insecta; Lepidoptera; Bombycidae. The record is from RNAcentral.
UACUGAUGAUAAAUUGACUAUUAUUGCA